Molecule: ribosomal RNA, 253 nt
Filed under: uncultured bacterium
Lineage: Bacteria
Description: partial 16S ribosomal RNA
Rfam family: Bacterial small subunit ribosomal RNA
Source: RNAcentral
UACGUAGGGUGCAAGCGUUAAUCGGAAUUACUGGGCGUAAAGCGUGCGCAGGCGGCUUUGCAAGACAGAUGUGAAAUCUUCGGGCUUAACCCGGAAACUGCCAUUGAUACUAUUUAUCUUGAAUACCGUGGAGGUAAGCGGAAUAUGUCAUGUAGCGGUGAAAUGCUUAGAUAUGACAUAGAACACCAAUUGCGUAGGCAGCUUACUACACGAUCAUUGACGCUGAGGCACGAAAGCGUGGGGAGCAAACAGG